This 342-nucleotide ribosomal RNA is filed under the name uncultured Propionibacterium sp. RNAcentral's name for it is "bacterial SSU rRNA". It matches the Rfam family "Bacterial small subunit ribosomal RNA", at positions 1055 to 1393 of the family's 1533-position model. Lineage: Bacteria; Bacillati; Actinomycetota; Actinomycetes; Propionibacteriales; Propionibacteriaceae. The record is from RNAcentral.
UCAUCUCGUGUCGUGAGAUGUUGGGUUAAGUCCCGCAACGAGCGCAACCCUUGUUCACUGUUGCCAGCACGUUAUGGUGGGGACUCAGUGGAGACCGCCGAGGGUCAACUCGGAGGAAGGUGGGGAUGACGUCAAGUCAUCAUGCCCCUUAUGUCCAGGGCUUCACGCAUGCUACAAUGGCUGGUACAAAGAGUGGCGAGCCUGUGAGGGUGAGCGAAUCUCGGAAAGCCUGUCUCAGUUCGGAUUGGGGUCUGCAACUCGACCUCAUGAAGUCGGAGUCGCUAGUAAUCGACAGAUCAGCAACGCUGCGGUGAAUACGUUCCCGGGUCUUGUACACACCGA